CCACGUAGCUUCUUCAGCAUUAUGGUUUCUCCAGAUUACCUUAACAGAAUGUAUCACUUUAUUCAUUAGUACUUAUUCUUUCCUGUCGAUAAUUUGAACAUGGACUUUCUCAUAUGACAAGUCUUUCUCAAAUUGUAAUGGCUCAUAUUCUAUAACAUGCUUAUAGUCAGGCUUAUAUGGCCUUAAUACCGAGACAUGAAAAAUAUUAUGAAUAUGUUCUAAUUCCGAAGGUAAAGCUACCUCGUAUGCCACUUCCCCAACUCGUCGUAGCACUUCAAAA
RNAcentral lists this long non-coding RNA (280 nucleotides) under Panax ginseng (ginseng). RNAcentral's name for it is "long non-coding RNA (PGIN_LNC016051)". Lineage: Eukaryota; Viridiplantae; Streptophyta; Magnoliopsida; Apiales; Araliaceae. The record is from RNAcentral.